ACUCAAAAUCUCAAGAUGAUCUCCAAUGUUAACUAGAAUGGAGUUAGGGAUGCCAUUUAUGUUGACCCACUUCCCUUUAUGUUGCACUUGAAGGCCACUAAUUCCAUUAUGUAUUAGAAAGGUUAAGAGUCCAUGAUCUGAAUGAGAGGGCAUGCCCAUUGCAAGUUCUGGCUGUGGACAAGGUGGAUAGAAGUUUGCUGCAAUCACUUGUAGACCUUGUUCCAAGUUCAAUGCCUUCUCUAUAUAAUUGGGAUCCAAUCCCAGGCUCUCUGAUAUUCCUUUUAGCAGCUCUCUUGCUACUUCUCUAGCUCUUUUGGAGUACUCUAAUGAAGUCUCACUGCAUUAAUAAAGUCAAAUAAAAAAAAAUAAUUUAGGCCUUUCACUUACUGGUAUUGUAAUUUAACUUCUCAAUUCCCAUCUUAACUAGAAUAUUUUAACCAGAAGAAAACAGAAAGAAGCUAUCUAGAAUAGAAUCCAUAAAGAGCAUAAAUCCAAUAAGAAAAAGACAAUAGUAUUCCUGUUUGUUUGGUAUAAUGUAACAUUCACAAACCAGUCCUGUUAUUAUCAACAGUUAUUAUUCCUGAUAUGCUAAUAUUUCCUAACAAAUGCUAAUUCAUUUAAUGACCUUAAUUUUAGCUAUAGUCAUUAAACUUCAACUAUAUUAACAGAAUCACCUGACUUAUUAAAAUUAAUAUUUUUACUGUGAAGUCUCAAGUUGAAGUCCCGCCCGAGUUAAACAAUGACAAAAGAAUUUGGUUAAAUUUUACAAAAUUUAAUAUGCAAUAUGUAAUUCAAUUCCUGAAACAGCAAUCAAUUUUACCAGGAAUGUUACUCUACUUGUCUAAAUAUGCAUUUUCUCACAACCAAGAUUCAUUCUUAUCUUCUUCCCUAUUACAGCAGACUAUAUAUGGCCCUGAGUUAAAGGCUUCUAAUUACCUGAAGCCUGCAGGUUUACUGGGAGAGUGAAACACAGGAUGUGAAAGAAUCUUGAGAAAAUCCUUCCAAAAGAAAACCUUCUCCACUGAAGCAUUAAAGCUAGUUCCACACCUUAUUGGGUCCAACACAUGCUUCCCUCUGUACUCUUCCUUCUCCUCUUCAGGGAGAUCAAAGAAUCCUCUACAACCAUCAAUCAUCGAUCUAACCAGGCUUUCUGGGACUCCAUGGUUGAUCAU
This 1172-nucleotide unclassified non-coding RNA is filed under the name Hevea brasiliensis (rubber tree). Lineage: Eukaryota; Viridiplantae; Streptophyta; Magnoliopsida; Malpighiales; Euphorbiaceae. The record is from RNAcentral.